This 215-nucleotide unclassified non-coding RNA is filed under the name uncultured Sistotrema. RNAcentral's name for it is "sequence contains ITS2". Lineage: Eukaryota; Fungi; Basidiomycota; Agaricomycetes; Corticiales; Corticiaceae. The record is from RNAcentral.
AGCUCUCAAGCAUCUCCUUUUCUUUAUUGCAAAGGUAGAUGAUUGGAUUUGGACUCUGCUGUGUAACAAACAGCUGGCCCGAAAGAUAUUAGCUGAUCCUAGUGAGACUUGGUUCUACUCGGCGUGAUAAUUAUCUAACGUCGAGGACAUCGCAAGAUGGCCAGGAAUUAUUAAUUGGAUUGCUUCUAAUCGUCUUCAUCGACAACUUAUUAUCA